This 301-nucleotide ribosomal RNA is filed under the name uncultured bacterium. RNAcentral's name for it is "partial 16S ribosomal RNA". It matches the Rfam family "Bacterial small subunit ribosomal RNA", at positions 509 to 807 of the family's 1533-position model. The record is from RNAcentral.
CAGUAGCCGCGGUAAAACGUAGGGUGCAAGCGUUAAUCGGAAUUACUGGGCGUAAAGCGUGCGCAGGCGGCUAUGCAAGACAGAUGUGAAAUCCCCGGGCUCAACCUGGGAACUGCAUUUGUGACUGCAUGGCUAGAGUACGGUAGAGGGGGAUGGAAUUCCGCGUGUAGCAGUGAAAUGCGUAGAUAUGCGGAGGAACACCGAUGGCGAAGGCAAUCCCCUGGACCUGUACUGACGCUCAUGCACGAAAGCGUGGGGAGCAAACAGGAUUAGAUACCCCCGUAGUCCCUGUCUCUUAUAC